ACGCACGCUGGCGGCAUGCCUCACCCCUGCCAGUCGCACGCGACCUUCGGGUCUAGUGGCGCACGGGUGCGUAACGCGUGGGAAUCUGCCCUUGGGUUCGGAAUAACAGUUGGAAACGACUGCUAAUACCGGAUGAUGACGUAAGUCCAAAGAUUUAUCGCCCAAGGAUGAGCCCGCGUAGGAUUAGCUAGUUGGUGAGGUAAAGGCUCACCAAGGCGACGAUCCUUAGCUGGUCUGAGAGGAUGAUCAGCCACACUGGGACUGAGACACGGCCCAGACUCCUACGGGAGGCAGCAGUGGGGAAUAUUGGACAAUGGGCGAAAGCCUGAUCCAGCAAUGCCGCGUGAGUGAUGAAGGCCUUAGGGUUGUAAAGCUCUUUUACCCGGGAUGAUAAUGACAGUACCGGGAGAAUAAGCUCCGGCUAACUCCGUG
This 432-nucleotide ribosomal RNA is filed under the name uncultured bacterium. RNAcentral describes it as "partial 16S ribosomal RNA". It matches the Rfam family "Bacterial small subunit ribosomal RNA", at positions 29 to 507 of the family's 1533-position model. The record is from RNAcentral.